GUCUGUGAUGGCGUCCGCCAGUAAGCUAGAUACUUGGAGGCCAGGGUGAGUAGUUUCGUGGGACCGGGAGUACUGGCAUAUGUGUGCUCAUGUUGGUCGGGCAUCCACGCUAAGUAAGACGCCGAUAUGGAUGACCCAUCGGAGUGAGGGUUGUCCAGGUCGUCCAAGGAGGGACGGAUCGACCCAGGGGGAAACAACAGGCAGACGUCCUCGUGUGGUAUGUUAGCUGGAUAGAACCUGUGGAUGAUGUUCACAUGACAGUCUGGCUGAUGCGUGAAGACCGCCUCUUU
This 290-nucleotide signal recognition particle RNA is filed under the name Schistosoma haematobium. Its description in RNAcentral is "Metazoan signal recognition particle RNA". It matches the Rfam family "Metazoan signal recognition particle RNA". Rfam says of the family: The signal recognition particle (SRP) is a universally conserved ribonucleoprotein. It is involved in the co-translational targeting of proteins to membranes. Lineage: Eukaryota; Metazoa; Platyhelminthes; Trematoda; Strigeidida; Schistosomatidae. The record is from Rfam by way of RNAcentral.